RNAcentral lists this ribosomal RNA (295 nucleotides) under unidentified marine bacterioplankton. Its description in RNAcentral is "partial 16S ribosomal RNA". It matches the Rfam family "Bacterial small subunit ribosomal RNA", at positions 29 to 339 of the family's 1533-position model. RNAcentral also lists the same sequence under 1 other name. The record is from RNAcentral.
AACGAACGCUGGUGGCACGCCUAACACAUGCAAGUCGAGCGCACUUAUGACCUUCGGGUUAUAAGCGAGCGGCGGACGGGUUAGUAACGCGUGGGAACGUACCCUUUACUACGGAAUAGCCUUUGGAAACGAAGAGUAAUACCGUAUACGCCCUUUGGGGGAAAGAUUUAUCGGUAAAGGAUCGGCCCGCGUAAGAUUAGAUAGUUGGUGGGGUAAUGGCCUACCAAGUCUACGAUCUUUAGCUGGUUUGAGAGGAUGAUCAGCAACACUGGGACUGAGACACGGCCCAGACUCC